UCGGGAUGAUUUGUUGGACGCUAGCGGCGGAUGGGUGAGUAACACGUGGGCAAUCUGCCCUAAAGACUGGGAUACCACUUGGAAACAGGUGCUAAUACCGGAUAACAACAUGAAUCGCAUGAUUCAAGUUUGAAAGGCGGCGCAAGCUGUCACUUUAGGAUGAGCCCGCGGCGCAUUAGCUAGUUGGUGGGGUAAAGGCCUACCAAGGCAAUGAUGCGUAGCCGAGUUGAGAGACUGAUCGGCCACAUUGGGACUGAGACACGGCCCAAACUCCUACGGGAGGCAGCAGUAGGGAAUCUUCCACAAUGGACGCAAGUCUGAUGGAGCAACGCCGCGUGAGUGAAGAAGGUUUUCGGAUCGUAAAGCUCUGUUGUUGGUGAAGAAGGAUAGAGGCGGUAACUGGUCUUUAUUUGACGGUAAUCAACCAGAAAGUCACGGCUAACUACGUGCCAGCAGCCGCGGUAAUACGUAGGUGGCAAGCGUUGUCCGGAUUUAUUGGGCGUAAAGCGAGCGCAGGCGGAAUGAUAAGUCUGAUGUGAAAGCCCACGGCUCAACCGUGGAACUGCAUCGGAAACUGUCAUUCUUGAGUGCAGAAGAGGAGAGUGGAACUCCAUGUGUAGCGGUGGAAUGCGUAGAUAUAUGGAAGAACACCAGUGG
RNAcentral lists this ribosomal RNA (657 nucleotides) under uncultured Bacilli bacterium. RNAcentral describes it as "bacterial SSU rRNA". It matches the Rfam family "Bacterial small subunit ribosomal RNA", at positions 74 to 715 of the family's 1533-position model. The record is from RNAcentral. Lineage: Bacteria; Bacillati; Bacillota; Bacilli.